This 733-nucleotide long non-coding RNA is filed under the name Fukomys damarensis (Damara mole-rat). RNAcentral's name for it is "lncRNA (ENSFDAG00000027616.1)". Lineage: Eukaryota; Metazoa; Chordata; Mammalia; Rodentia; Bathyergidae. The record is from RNAcentral.
AUUUUAGUAGCAAUAAAUCACCCUCAUAAAUUAAAGGACGAUCAGAUAUUAUCUACACGGUGGGACACCCGAAGGUGAUAAUACUUGCACUGGUGUCUGAAUGGUUUCUCCAGCACCCACCACUGGGCCUCCAAGCCUCAGCCCCAAGGUUCAGAUAUUUUAGGGUAACCGUCAACAGACACUGCUGCCAUGGCAUCAAAUCUCCACACUCGCACUUUCUACGGGGUCAACUAUGGAUCGCUUGAACGCAUCACCUGAGGGCUUGAGUUGGCCGCAGCUCCUCUGGGCUCUGAAAGGCUCCACACGACUUCUUGUUCCAAGACUGAGACUGAAGGGGCCGCCACCUGUCAUCCACUUCUCUCAAGGCACAGCAUGCAAAUUCCAGAGGCCGGAGCCAAGGUGCAGAGAGCUGGUGUGGCGUUUCACGUGUGGCCUUGUACAGGUUGGGUCUGCUCCCAGCUCAUUAGCCAAGCAGUGUGCAGGGCAGAGCUGGACACUGCACCUGAGCAGGUGGGCACUGCAACCCAGGCGGCGUGGCAGGUGCAGACGAGGGAGACUGAGACAGCUUACCCUGUGCAGGGAAGAUGGAAUGCGGAAUCCUGGUGCCUUCAUUUCAAAUCUGAAGCAAUGGCCUGCCAAGAAAACUCAUAAAUGUAUGAACAGCGUGCAAAAGCAAAAGAAGGGAGACAGCAUGUCCUUUGUGAGUGGGAAGGAAGUCAACCAGCAUUUAUGA